AUGUCGGCGCACAAAGCACCCGGUCCGGAUGGCUUCACAACGGAGUUCCUGCGCGCCUGUUGGAGCAUCAUCCGCCACGGCAUAUGGGACGUCUUCGAAUUGCUAUACACGCUGCAUGGCCGCGGGUUCAGCAAGCUUAACCAAGUGCUGCUAACCUUGCUGCCUAAGCGCGCGGACGCUCACAAGCUUGGUGACUACCGGCCGAUCUGCCUGAUCCACAUUGUGGACAAGAUCUUCGCGAAGGUUCUGUCAUUGCGCCUCACCCCCAAGCUCGACACCCUAGUCAGCCGCAACCAAAAUGCGUUCAUCGUCGGGCGUAGCCUCCAUGACAACUUCAUUCUAGUCCGGCAAUCCCUCAAGAUGCUGCACCAACUUGGCGCGCCCAGGAUCAUGCUAAAGCUCGACCUCACACGCGCCUUCGACUCCAUCUCAUGGCCCUUUCUCUUUGAAGUGUUGCGCCAGUACGGGUUCGGGGAGUGA
This 480-nucleotide ribosomal RNA is filed under the name Triticum aestivum (bread wheat). RNAcentral describes it as "partial small subunit ribosomal RNA". The record is from RNAcentral. Lineage: Eukaryota; Viridiplantae; Streptophyta; Magnoliopsida; Poales; Poaceae.